This 336-nucleotide unclassified non-coding RNA is filed under the name soil metagenome. RNAcentral's name for it is "partial contains 5.8S ribosomal RNA, internal transcribed spacer 2, and large subunit ribosomal RNA". The stretch from base 1 to 120 matches the Rfam family "5.8S ribosomal RNA", at positions 35 to 154 of the family's 154-position model. The record is from RNAcentral.
GAUGAAGAACGCAGCGAAAUGCGAUAAGUAAUGUGAAUUGCAGAAUUCAGUGAAUCAUCGAAUCUUUGAACGCACAUUGCGCCCGACAGUAUUCUGGCGGGCAUGCCUGUUCGAGCGUCAUUUCAACCAUCAAGCCCCCGGCUUGUGUUGGGGACCUGCGGCUGCCGCAGGCCCUGAAAAGCAGUGGCGGGCUCGCUGUCACACCGAGCGUAGUAGCAUACAUCUCGCUCUGGGCGUGCUGCGGGUUCCGGCCGUUAAACCACCUUCAUAACCCAAGGUUGACCUCGGAUCAGGUAGGAAGACCCGCUGAACUUAAGCAUAUCAAUAAGCGGAGGA